RNAcentral lists this ribosomal RNA (253 nucleotides) under uncultured bacterium. Its description in RNAcentral is "partial 16S ribosomal RNA". It matches the Rfam family "Bacterial small subunit ribosomal RNA", at positions 524 to 776 of the family's 1533-position model. The record is from RNAcentral.
UACGGGGGGUGCGAGCGUUGUCCGGAAUCACUGGGCGUAAAGCGCACGUAGGCGGACUCUUAAGUCAGGGGUGAAAUCCUGGAGCUCAACUCCAGAACUGCCUUUGAUACUGAGAGCCUUGAGUUCGGGAGAGGUGAGUGGAACUGCGAGUGUAGAGGUGAAAUUCGUAGAUAUUCGCAAGAACACCAGUGGCGAAGGCGGCUCACUGGCCCGAUACUGACGCUGAGGUGCGAAAGCGUGGGGAGCAAACAGG